RNAcentral lists this ribosomal RNA (611 nucleotides) under uncultured bacterium. RNAcentral's name for it is "bacterial SSU rRNA". It matches the Rfam family "Bacterial small subunit ribosomal RNA", at positions 331 to 935 of the family's 1533-position model. The record is from RNAcentral.
CCAGACUCCUACGGGAGGCAGCAGUGGGGAAUUUUGGACAAUGGGCGCAAGCCUGAUCCAGCCAUGCCGCGUGUCUGAAGAAGGCCUUCGGGUUGUAAAGGACUUUUGUCAGGGAAGAAAAGGCUGUUGCUAAUACCGACAGUUAAUGACGGUACCUGAAGAAUAAGCACCGGCUAACUACGUGCCAGCAGCCGCGGUAAUACGUAGGGUGCGAGCGUUAAUCGGAAUUACUGGGCGUAAAGCGAGCGCAGACGGUUACUUAAGCAGGAUGUGAAAUCCCCGGGCUCAACCUGGGAACUGCGUUCUGAACUGGGUGACUAGAGUGUGUCAGAGGGAGGUAGAAUUCCACGUGUAGCAGUGAAAUGCGUAGAGAUGUGGAGGAAUACCGAUGGCGAAGGCAGCCUCCUGGGAUAACACUGACGUUCAUGCUCGAAAGCGUGGGUAGCAAACAGGAUUAGAUACCCUGGUAGUCCACGCCCUAAACGAUGUCAAUUAGCUGUUGGGCAACUUGAUUGCUUAGUAGCGUAGCUAACGCGUGAAAUUGACCGCCUGGGGAGUACGGUCGCAAGAUUAAAACUCAAAGGAAUUGACGGGGGCCCGCAAAGAAGGGC